RNAcentral lists this transfer RNA (74 nucleotides) under candidate division TA06 bacterium ADurb.Bin131. RNAcentral describes it as "tRNA-Ala". It matches the Rfam family "tRNA". Rfam says of the family: Transfer RNA (tRNA) molecules are approximately 80 nucleotides in length. Their secondary structure includes four short double-helical elements and three loops (D, anti-codon, and T loops). The record is from RNAcentral.
GGGGCAGUAGCUCAGAUGGGAGAGCGCCAGAAUCGCACUCUGGAGGCCGCCGGUUCAACUCCGGUCUGCUCCAC